GCGAGUACGCCCACACACACAUACAUACGAGCAUACACAAUCGCUAACUUACUUUUUGUUGCACCUUAAACUGACGUGUUUCAUCGUGGGUGCACACGCGGUGUUCCUGCUUCAGUUAACAUAUCCAUCCUAACCUGUUGUUUUCAUUUCCAAACAUUUUCCCGGUUCUAUUUUCAAGCAGGGUUGUUUCCGGAUUGUGGCGCACCAGGAGGGAGUCCCAUGAUGACGUAGUGAUGUGAUCAGAAUGUACUGAGUGUUUUCUAUUAAAUGGGGUAUAUGCCAUGGACUUCCGUUUUAGCACUUCCGCAUUUUUUUGCCACAUAGACUGCUUCCGGUGCACAGGCAACAGUACGUGUACAGUGGCUCCUCAGUCGCUGCAGGACUAUUAAUGAUGCCUGUAUAAUUAUUCAGACGUCCUGAAACACUCCAACAAAAACAAAGGAUUUAAGCUGGAUGUGUCAAAACUUCACAAUAACUUCGAAGCUGGAGUUGGACAGGAGUUCUGUUUGUUGGCUUCCUGGAGGGAGAUUGGCUCAGCUAAUGUUGCCAACAACUUUUCUCCUGCUAUUAACUUUUUUGCUUUUCUUUCUAUACAAAGUAUUUCUAUCAGUUGCUCUUUUUCCAUUUUGUAUACAGUAUUUGUGUCAUGGCCCGAGUUCUGUUUUGUUUUUUGUUUUUUUCCUUUUUGGUUUGCCUGCUGCUUCCUUCCCUGUCCACCAGAUGUCACCGGAUGACUGAGCCCCUGGAGAGAUGCGGUGCCAACCCCGUAGGCACACC
Molecule: long non-coding RNA, 777 nt
Organism: Poecilia latipinna (sailfin molly)
Lineage: Eukaryota; Metazoa; Chordata; Actinopteri; Cyprinodontiformes; Poeciliidae
Exons: 2
Source: RefSeq, a predicted model, not a curated record